Molecule: long non-coding RNA, 933 nt
Organism: Vicia villosa (hairy vetch)
Lineage: Eukaryota; Viridiplantae; Streptophyta; Magnoliopsida; Fabales; Fabaceae
Exons: 2
Source: RefSeq, a predicted model, not a curated record
UCGUAAGCACAUUUUUAAAAUAUGUUCUAAUGUUUUUAUCAAUAAGUUAUUAAAUAUGAGUAGAGACUCCUACUUUAGGUUACGACUUGAAGUUGGACUCCUUACGAACAAUCAUAACUACCAAUAAUACAAUUUCUUCAAAUACUGAAAGCUUUGAACUAUAGUUGUUCGAGCCUAUUAAUUUAUAACACGAGCACAGAAUUUUGUACAAUGCUUUUCUCAUUUACUUAUGCUUCCAAAUUUGGAGAUUCUACUUCACAUUGUAAAUUUGAUGACAGAUUUGCUACUUGAAAUAUUGACACGGACAAAGCAAAUUGUAGCCAUGUUGAUCAUUGAGAAAUGAAAGCAUUGGCAGCUCCAAUGGGAAGGAAAGCAGCAGUUCAGAUUAAGAUAGCAGGUCCCGGAGUGCAGUUUAUGCCUGUCCAUCUCAACAUUUCAUCAAGAUGCUUACACCUUGGGUGGUUGGUUCCUCUUUCAGUUGUUAAGAUCUGCUCUGUGAUCUGUUCCAUCUAGAGUUGUGGAGAAGGGAUGCAGCAUGGUUUGGAAAUAAAAAUUUGGUCAUGUGAAUUCUAUUAAGCUUUAAUGGAAUAUUCAAUAGGGCCGGAUUUUGGAGUACAAUGGCUUCCAAUGUGACAAACCCGAUGUUGUCAAAUAUUGGCCAUGGCAACUGAAGUUGUUAUUUUCUUUUGAAGCAUAUUCACACACAAAUCUAGAGCUUCCUUUCUGAGCUGGCACUUCCCUGUCCUGCUUCACUAUCAAGUGGUGUGAUCCAUAACUUCCCCCAGUUGAGCCCGAACCAAUAUCAUUGAAGGAUUCACUGUCCAUGACUACAACUCCCUGCUAUACAAUCUAAAGAUCGAAGAAGUUAGAGAAUAGAUGAUUUUACAGAUUCAGUGAUUAAAUUGAUGUAUUUAACAAUUAACUUCUCAUUGA